Non-coding RNA from Tupaia belangeri chinensis (Chinese tree shrew), 399 nucleotides. The record is from the annotation of a RefSeq genome assembly. NCBI's taxonomy places the organism in Eukaryota, Metazoa, Chordata, Mammalia, Scandentia, Tupaiidae.
AUGGCCUGGACUCCUCUUGUCUUCAUGCUCCUCUCUCACUGCACAGGUAGGGACAGGCUGUGGGAAUCAGGAGCAGCUCCCAUUCUGCUUCUUGCCAAUUGCCCCAAGAAACAUCACUCUGGUCCCAUUACCCCUACGCUUCUCUAUCUGCAGAUUCCAUUUACAGCCUGUGAUGAUCAGCCUCACUCCCUCUCUGCAUCUCCUGGAGCAACUGCCAGACUCACCUGCACCCUGAGCAGUGGCUUCAGUUGGUCACUAUGGGAUACAGUGGUACCCCAGAAGCCAGGGAGCCCUCCCUGCUAUUUCCUGAGCUAUGACUCAGACUCAGUUAAACACCAGGGCUCUGGAGUUCCCAGCAACUUCUCCGGAUGCAAAGAUGCCUCAGUCAGGGCAGGAUGA